AGAGUUUGAUCAUGGCUCAGGACGAACGCUGGCGGCGCGCCUAACACAUGCAAGUCGAACGAGAGAGAGGGAGCUUGCUUCCUUGAUCGAGUGGCGAACGGGUGAGUAACGCGUGAGGAACCUGCCUCAAAGAGGGGGACAACAGUUGGAAACGACUGCUAAUACCGCAUAAGCCCACGGUGCCGCAUGGCACAGAGGGAAAAGGAGCAAUCCGCUUUGAGAUGGCCUCGCGUCCGAUUAGCUAGUUGGUGAGGUAACGGCCCACCAAGGCGACGAUCGGUAGCCGGACUGAGAGGUUGAACGGCCACAUUGGGACUGAGACACGGCCCAGACUCCUACGGGAGGCAGCAGUGGGGAAUAUUGCACAAUGGGGGAAACCCUGAUGCAGCGACGCCGCGUGGAGGAAGAAGGUCUUCGGAUUGUAAACUCCUGUUGUUGAGGAAGAUAAUGACGGUACUCAACAAGGAAGUGACGGCUAACUACGUGCCAGCAGCCGCGGUAAAACGUAGGUCACAAGCGUUGUCCGGAAUUACUGGGUGUAAAGGGAGCGCAGGCGGGCGAUCAAGUUGGAAGUGAAAUCCAUGGGCUCAACCCAUGAACUGCUUUCAAAACUGGUCGUCUUGAGUAGUGCAGAGGUAGGCGGAAUUCCCGGUGUAGCGGUGGAAUGCGUAGAUAUCGGGAGGAACACCAGUGGCGAAGGCGGCCUACUGGGCACCAACUGACGCUGAGGCUCGAAAGUGUGGGUAGCAAACAGGAUUAGAUACCCUGGUAGUCCACACCGUAAACGAUGAUUACUAGGUGUUGGGAGAUUGACCCUCUCAGUGCCGCAGUUAACACAAUAAGUAAUCCACCUGGGGAGUACGACCGCAAGGUUGAAACUCAAAGGAAUUGACGGGGACCCGCACGAGUAGCGGAGCAUGUGGUUUAAUUCGAAGCAACGCGAAGAACCUUACCUAAGCUUGACAUCCUUUUGACCGAUGCCUAAUCGCAUCUUUCCCUUCGGGGACAGAAGCGACAGGUGGUGCAUGGUUGUCGUCAGCUCGUGUCGUGAGAUGUUGGGUUAAGUCCCGCAACGAGCGCAACCCUUGCCUUUAGUUGCCAUCAUUAAGUUGGGCACUCUAGAGGGACUGCCAGAGAUAACCUGGAGGAAGGUGGGGAUGACGUCAAAUCAUCAUGCCCCUUAUGCUUAGGGCUACACACGUGCUACAAUGGGUGGUACAGAGGGCAGCGAAGUCGUGAGGCCAAGCUAAUCCCUUAAAGCCAUUCUCAGUUCGGAUUGUAGGCUGAAACUCGCCUACAUGAAGCUGGAGUUACUAGUAAUCGCAGAUCAGAAUGCUGCGGUGAAUGCGUUCCCGGGUCUUGUACACACCGCCCGUCACACCAUGGGAGUUGGGGGCGCCCGAAGCCGGCUAGCUAACCUUUUAGGAAGCGGUCGUCGAAGGUGAAACCAAUAACUGGGGUGAAGUCGUAACAAGGUA
Molecule: ribosomal RNA, 1478 nt
Filed under: metagenome
Description: bacterial SSU rRNA
Rfam family: Bacterial small subunit ribosomal RNA
Source: RNAcentral